RNAcentral lists this ribosomal RNA (354 nucleotides) under uncultured Ilyobacter sp. Its description in RNAcentral is "bacterial SSU rRNA". It matches the Rfam family "Bacterial small subunit ribosomal RNA", at positions 355 to 722 of the family's 1533-position model. Lineage: Bacteria; Fusobacteriati; Fusobacteriota; Fusobacteriia; Fusobacteriales; Fusobacteriaceae. The record is from RNAcentral.
UGGGGAAUAUUGGACAAUGGACCAAAAGUCUGAUCCAGCAAUUCUGUGUGCACGAUGAAGGUCUUCGGAUUGUAAAGUGCUUUCAGGUGGGAAGAAGAAAGUGACGGUACCACCAGAAGAAGCGACGGCUAAAUACGUGCCAGCAGCCGCGGUAAUACGUAUGUCGCAAGCGUUAUCCGGAAUUAUUGGGCGUAAAGCGAGUCUAGGCGGCUUGUUAAGUCAGAUGUGAAAAUGCGGGGCUCAACUCCGUAUUGCGUUUGAAACUGGCAGGCUAGAGUACUGGAGAGGUGGGCGGAACUACAAGUGUAGAGGUGAAAUUCGUAGAUAUUUGUAGGAAUGCCGAUAGUGAACGAC